RNAcentral lists this unclassified non-coding RNA (524 nucleotides) under Hevea brasiliensis (rubber tree). The record is from RNAcentral. Lineage: Eukaryota; Viridiplantae; Streptophyta; Magnoliopsida; Malpighiales; Euphorbiaceae.
GAGCUUUUCAUGAUAAAGAUCUUAAGAAUAUCCACUCCAGGAAAACAAAAUGAAAGAGAGGUCAAUUUUGUCAAGGUAGCUACCUCCUCACUCAUUUCUCUUGCAACCUCAUUCCACCAUUGAUUACCCACCCUAACAUCAAUGACCAAUUCUUCCAACAAAGAAAGUUUUGAAAUGAUGUUUCGGUAAAUUUCCAUCCUCCUUGAUCUUCCAUCAAUAUUUGAGAAUGACAUACGUAAACACCUCAGCUGUCUCAAACAUCCAACUUCAAUGGGUAAAUAAUUAAUCUUAGUGCCUCGAAUAUCAAGCACCUCAAGAUGCUGCAAAGUGUCUAUUCUUGAUGGGAGCUUUAUUAAUUGAUUGCAACAAUUUAAAUAGAGUGCUCUGAGGCUUUGCAAGCAAGAUAGAGACAAUGGUAAUGUUGUAAUCUUGGUUCCAUGCAAGUCUAGAACUCGAAGAUUUUGCAUAGAUCCAAAGAAUUGCUCAGGGAUCAUUGUCAAAUCACCAUUUCUCUGUAGCAACAG